UACGAAGGGGGCGAGCGUUGUUCGGAAUUACUGGGCGUAAAGCGCGCGUAGGCGGACCUGCAAGUCGGGGGUGAAAGCCCGAGGCUCAACCUCGGAACUGCCUUCGAUACUGCGGGUCUCGAGUCCGGGAGAGGUGAGUGGAAUUCCUAGUGUAGAGGUGAAAUUCGUAGAUAUUAGGAAGAACACCAGUGGCGAAGGCGGCUCACUGGCCCGGUACUGACGCUGAGGUGCGAAAGCGUGGGGAGCAAACAGG
This 253-nucleotide ribosomal RNA is filed under the name uncultured bacterium. Its description in RNAcentral is "partial 16S ribosomal RNA". It matches the Rfam family "Bacterial small subunit ribosomal RNA", at positions 524 to 776 of the family's 1533-position model. The record is from RNAcentral.